AUUCUAUGGUGUGGACACUUUCACAGCAUAUUCUUGAACAUAUUCCAAGCUUCAUCAAAAUUCCCCGAGUCGCCUGACGAAAGACAGAAAUGUCGUGCUUGAGAUU
This 106-nucleotide small nucleolar RNA is filed under the name Olea europaea subsp. europaea. Its description in RNAcentral is "Plant small nucleolar RNA R71". It matches the Rfam family "Plant small nucleolar RNA R71". From Rfam's summary of the family: R71 is a member of the C/D box family of snoRNAs containing the C (UGAUGA) and D (CUGA) box motifs. Multiple nearly identical copies of this snoRNA have been identified in Arabidopsis, and it is thought to function as a 2'-O-ribose methylation guide for 18S ribosomal RNA. The record is from Rfam by way of RNAcentral. Lineage: Eukaryota; Viridiplantae; Streptophyta; Magnoliopsida; Lamiales; Oleaceae.